Long non-coding RNA from Tarenaya hassleriana, 960 nucleotides. RefSeq lists it as uncharacterized. The transcript has 2 exons. The record is from RefSeq and is a predicted model, not a curated record. NCBI's taxonomy places the organism in Eukaryota, Viridiplantae, Streptophyta, Magnoliopsida, Brassicales, Cleomaceae.
UCUGUGAAGCACAAAGCGCAAAAACCCUAGCUGCUUCUUCUUCUUCUCCGCCGUUUUAGCAGUGACUGGAGAUUCCCCCUGAGCGAAGGGCGGGAAUCGAUGCAGCAAAAAGAGUAGGGGUCGGAGGUUAUUUAUCCGUCUAUCAUCGCCAAGCCCCUUGCUGGGAAGAAGCUCCAAAAUCGAACCCUCGAGCUCAUUUAAAAAGCUUUAUGGGCUGGAAGAAUAUUAGCUAAUGUUGCCUUCGCGCCAAUGCAGUGCAAUGGUGUGUCUUUUUUUUUGUUUUCUUGGGAUGUGUAUUCAUUUCGUACUUGUGUUAUGAACUUCGGAAGCCACUGGACAGAAAUGCUUUAAGACUCACGGACACUAUGGGUUAGCUUUGAGUCUAAAUUAGACCGUCCGCUGUCCUUUGUACAUUGGUUUUCGUUUAUGUUUGCAAUAUCUGUGUACAAUAAGCCGAUGCUCUGGAGCAAAACGAAUGAAGGUAGCAUGGUUAUGUGCACGGAAAUCAAGUUGCAUUGGGUCAACAUGUCUGCCCCCUCUGAGUUCUUUCUUGGUUCUUUGAUUAGGGGGCCUGGUUCAGACCCACAUUUCUCUUUUUGUGUUGUUGUAUAGUUGGAAAGAUUAUUCUUUUCUUUUGUGGGCGCUGUAACUUUUGAAAAUCCAGCAAACCUUUGGUUUCUUACCAUUCGUGUUUGUGAGAUCUGUGUACAAUAAGCCGAUGCUCUGGAAGAAAAUGAAUGAAGGUAGCAUGGUUAUGUGCACGGAAAUCAAGUUGCAUUGGGUCAACAUGUCUGCCCCCUCUGAGUUCUUUCUUGGUUCUUUGAUUAGGGGGCCUGGUUCAGACCCACAUUUCUCUUUUUGUGUUGUUGUAUAGUUGGAAAGAUUAUUCUUUUCUUUUGUGGGCGCUGUAACUUUUGAAAAUCCAGCAAACCUUUGGUUUCUUACCAUUCGUGUUUGUGA